Molecule: ribosomal RNA, 116 nt
Filed under: Salmonella enterica
Lineage: Bacteria; Pseudomonadati; Pseudomonadota; Gammaproteobacteria; Enterobacterales; Enterobacteriaceae
Also listed under: 18 other names
Source: RNAcentral
CCUGGCGGCACUAGCGCGGUGGUCCCACCUGACCCCAUGCCGAACUCAGUAGUGAAACGCCGUAGCGCCGAUGGUAGUGUGGGGUCUCCCCAUGCGAGAGUAGGGAACUGCCAGGC